GGAGAGGUCGCAUAGUGGACUAGUGCGCGCGCUUGGAGAGCGCGUAUGGCCGCAAGGUCAUCGCGGGUUCGAAUCCCGCCCUCUCCGCCA
This 90-nucleotide transfer RNA is filed under the name Candidatus Gottesmanbacteria bacterium RBG_16_52_11. RNAcentral describes it as "tRNA-Ser". It matches the Rfam family "tRNA". Rfam says of the family: Transfer RNA (tRNA) molecules are approximately 80 nucleotides in length. Their secondary structure includes four short double-helical elements and three loops (D, anti-codon, and T loops). Further hydrogen bonds mediate the characteristic L-shaped molecular structure. tRNAs have two regions of fundamental functional importance: the anti-codon, which is responsible for specific mRNA codon recognition, and the 3' end, to which the tRNAs corresponding amino acid is attached (by aminoacyl-tRNA synthetases). tRNAs cope with the degeneracy of the genetic code in two manners: having more than one tRNA (with a specific anti-codon) for a particular amino acid; and 'wobble' base-pairing, i.e. permitting non-standard base-pairing at the 3rd anti-codon position. The record is from RNAcentral. Lineage: Bacteria; Candidatus Gottesmaniibacteriota.